This is a long non-coding RNA of Aquila chrysaetos chrysaetos, 369 nucleotides long. RefSeq lists it as uncharacterized. NCBI's taxonomy places the organism in Eukaryota, Metazoa, Chordata, Aves, Accipitriformes, Accipitridae. The transcript has 3 exons. The record is from RefSeq and is a predicted model, not a curated record.
AGGGUGGUCAAACCCUGGAACAGUGUUUCUCAGCACAGGAAAGACAUGGACCUGUUGGAGCAGGUCCAGAGGACAGUCACAAAAAUGAUCGGAGGGCUGGAAUGCCUCUCCUAUGAGGACAGGCUGAGAGAGCUGGGGUUGUUCAGCCUGGAGAGAAGGCGGCUCUGGGGAGACCUUAUUCCAGCCUUUCAAUACUUAAAGGGGCUUAUAAGAAAGAAGGGGACAAACUUUUUGCAGGGCCUGUAAUGAUAGGACAAGGUGUAAUGGUUUUGAACUAAAAGAGGGUAGCUUUAGACUAGAUAUAAGGAAGACAUUUUUUAUGAUGAGGGUCGUGAAACACUGGAACAGCUUGCCCAGAGAGGUGGUAGA